RNAcentral lists this microRNA precursor (72 nucleotides) under Tursiops truncatus (common bottlenose dolphin). Its description in RNAcentral is "miRNA (ENSTTRG00000024511.1)". The record is from RNAcentral. Lineage: Eukaryota; Metazoa; Chordata; Mammalia; Artiodactyla; Delphinidae.
UGGGUUCGCCAAAAAGUUCAUUCGGGUUUUUCUGUAACAUGGAAAAACCUGCAUGAACUUUUUGGCCAAGCC